RNAcentral lists this transfer RNA (76 nucleotides) under bacterium. Its description in RNAcentral is "tRNA-Asn". It matches the Rfam family "tRNA". Rfam says of the family: Transfer RNA (tRNA) molecules are approximately 80 nucleotides in length. Their secondary structure includes four short double-helical elements and three loops (D, anti-codon, and T loops). The record is from RNAcentral.
UGGGGCGUAGCAUAGCUGGCAAUGCGCCUGGCUGUUAACCAGGAAAUCGAAGGUUCGAGUCCUUCCGCCCCAGCUA